Molecule: non-coding RNA, 413 nt
Organism: Erythranthe guttata (spotted monkey flower)
Lineage: Eukaryota; Viridiplantae; Streptophyta; Magnoliopsida; Lamiales; Phrymaceae
Source: RefSeq, a predicted model, not a curated record
CCCAUCUAGAUCAUGGGCUUGGACUAUACGAGCCGGGCUUUGUUAAUUGGGCGAUGUUCAUAAUCAUAUAUAACUCUAUUAAUUUAUUUAAGUGUAUUUAUAUUAGUUGGUAAUUUAGUUUUGGAGUCCAAAUGUAAAUUUUCAUUUAAACCGUGGAUUUUUUUUAGAAGAUAAAUCGUGGAUGUGAUCUGCUGGCUUUCCAUUGUUUUUGAAUGAAUCGUUCGGAAUUGAUCCGCCAUUUCAUUUUCCAUCUGCAGAGGCAUUUACUCAAUACUAGCAUGGAAAAACACUGGCGAGGUUAAGUGAUGACUGACCAAAGAGGUCCAAAUCCACCCUCACCGAGCUUAUUUUCACAUGAAAAAUUAUUCGUGGCUGUUACUAUCUGAGCGAAUUUGAACGCUUGCAGAUUAGAG